This 112-nucleotide microRNA precursor is filed under the name Phlebotomus papatasi. Its description in RNAcentral is "microRNA mir-210". Lineage: Eukaryota; Metazoa; Arthropoda; Insecta; Diptera; Psychodidae. The record is from RNAcentral.
UUCAUAGCCAAGUCAGUUUCUGAUACACUACAAACGUAGCUUUCGAUACCAGUGAAAUCUAAGCCUUGUUUGUAGUGUGUCAGGAACUGACUUGGCUAUGAACGAGCUUAGU